AUCCAGCUGACGAGUCACAAACAGGACGAAACACACGUCCUGGAU
Molecule: non-coding RNA, 45 nt
Filed under: Schistosoma margrebowiei
Lineage: Eukaryota; Metazoa; Platyhelminthes; Trematoda; Strigeidida; Schistosomatidae
Source: RNAcentral